Molecule: long non-coding RNA, 556 nt
Filed under: Nicotiana tabacum (common tobacco)
Lineage: Eukaryota; Viridiplantae; Streptophyta; Magnoliopsida; Solanales; Solanaceae
Description: long non-coding RNA (NTAB_LNC018663)
Source: RNAcentral
UUUUAAACCCUAAACUGAAUUUUUCCUUUUAGUCAGCAUUAGGGUUUUAAACCCUAAACUGAAUUUUCCUUUUAGUCAGCAUUAGGAUUUUAAACCUUAAACUGAACUUUUUCCUUUCAGCCAGCAUUAGGGUUUUAAACCCUAAACUGAGCUUUUCCAUGUAUUCAGCAUUAGGGUUUUAAACCCUAAACGGAAUUUUUCCUUUUAGUCAGCAUUAGGGUUCUAAACCCUAAACUGAACUUUUUCCAUUCAGCCAGCAUUAGGGUUUUAAACCCUAAACUGAGCUUUUUCAUGUAGUCAGCAUUAGUGUUUCAAACCCUAAACUGAAUUUUUCCUUUUAGUCAGCAUUAGGGUUUUAAACCCUAAACUGAACUUUUUCCAUUCAGCAGCAUUAGGGUUUUAAACCCUAAACUGAGCUUUUCCAUGUAUUCAGCAUUAGGGUUUUAAACCCUAAACUGAAUUUUUCCUUUUAGUCAGCAUUAGGGUUUUAAACCCUAAACUGAACUUUUUCCAUUUAGCCAGCAUUAGGGUUUUAAACCCUAAACUGAGCUUUUCC